Molecule: ribosomal RNA, 400 nt
Filed under: uncultured bacterium
Lineage: Bacteria
Description: bacterial SSU rRNA
Rfam family: Bacterial small subunit ribosomal RNA
Source: RNAcentral
CCUGGCUCAGAUUGAACGCUGGCGGCAUGCUUUACACAUGCAAGUCGAACGGCAGCGCGGGGGCAACCCUGGCGGCGAGUGGCGAACGGGUGAGUAAUGCAUCGGAACGUAUCCUGUAAUGGGGGAUAACGUAGCGAAAGUUACGCUAAUACCGCAUACGCUCGAGAGAGGAAAGUGGGGGAUCGCAAGACCUCACGUUAUAGGAGCGGCCGAUGUCCGAUUAGCUAGUUGGUGGGGUAAAGGCCUACCAAGGCGACGAUCGGUAGCUGGUCUGAGAGGAUGAUCAGCCACACUGGGACUGAGACACGGCCCAGACUCCUACGGGAGGCAGCAGUGGGGAAUUUUGGACAAUGGGCGAAAGCCUGAUCCAGCCAUGCCGCGUGAGUGAAGAAGGCCUCGG